This 725-nucleotide non-coding RNA is filed under the name Echinococcus shiquicus. Lineage: Eukaryota; Metazoa; Platyhelminthes; Cestoda; Cyclophyllidea; Taeniidae. The record is from RNAcentral.
AUUUGUUUAACUGUGGCAAUAGGAAGUUUUGUUUCAUUAGCUGCAUGAAGUUUGUUUUGUGGUUUUUUAGGUUAUGUUUUUUGAUUGUUUUAUCAGCAGUUUGUUUUUUGUUAAGAUGGAAGUCUUAUAAGGGUGAUGCAAUUGUAAGGGGAUAGGGCACAGUGCCAGCAUCUGCGGUUAAUCUGUUUUCUUUGCUUUUAUGUGGAUUGUGUUCAUUUAUUUAUAGUUAAUAUUAGGUUAAAUUUUUUUGCGGUUGUGUUGAGUAAAUGAAUUUUAUUAUGAUGUAUAUUGUGACAGGGAUUAGAUACCCCAUUAAUGUAUUUUGUAUAGUUGAUCUUAGUUUUAUAACUAAAAUGGUUUGGCAGUGAGCGAUUCUUGUUAGGGGAAGAUGCAUAGUAAAGGAUGGUCCACCUAUUAGUUGACUCUUAUUAUGUUGGUGUAUAUCUGGUUUAAUAUUAUUGUUGAAUGAUUUAAGAUUGUGUAUAAUUAUUUAAGCUAAGUCUAUGUGCUGCUUAUAAGAGUUUUUGUGUGUUACAUUUAUAAUGAUACUUGUUGUAAUACAGUAUAAUUUAGGACUUAAUAGUAAUGUUGAAAUGAGUUUGUCGAUGUGAAUAUAGUUUAGCUCAGGUACACACCGCCCGUCACCCUCGGUUGUUACUGAGGUAAGUCGUAACAAGGUAACUUUAGAUGAAUUUGAAGUUAAUUAUUAGGUUGUACUAAUUGAA